RNAcentral lists this long non-coding RNA (1164 nucleotides) under Vitis vinifera (wine grape). RNAcentral's name for it is "long non-coding RNA (VVIN_LNC006356)". Lineage: Eukaryota; Viridiplantae; Streptophyta; Magnoliopsida; Vitales; Vitaceae. The record is from RNAcentral.
AGAGCACUCUCCUCAGUAUCUUUCUAAGCUUGCUUCUUCUUAUAUUUUCCUUCUCAAUAAGGCAGUCAAGUUCCGGAAGAACCCUCCUGAGUGCAACCCCAAGUAGGUAUUUUUCUAUUAUCUUUCUUAUUUUCUUUCUAGUUACUGAGAAUUUAUUGGAUGGCAUCCUUAUUUAGUUGUAAGUCAUCUUCUAGUAAAGUUGUUGUAGAUAGUGAAGAAUAUAGGGUCAGUGUUGAGAAGAAUUUGCACAAUUGGAACAUCCCAAAAGAGAAAAUCUACAAAACAGGAUUCUUCAAAUCCAACAAGUUAGUGAGAACUGAAAAACAAACAAUGCCACUGUCCACUGGAGAUCAAAUUAUAAGAUUACUUCCACAAGAGCAUUUAUACCGAUUCCAAGACGAGGAUUGUUCCCUCCAUGUAGGGUUGGUUCAACUAGCAGUUGGACCAUUAACAAGGCAAGGUAUUAAUGGAACCUCAGUUGUUUUAUGUCUCCAAGAUAAUAGGCAUAGCAAGUUUGAAGACUCCUUGCUAGGAAAGCUUCAAUUCAGUCUUUGUGAUGGACCCAUAUAUUUUAACUGCUUCCCCAAUUUUUUGGUGUCUCUAAUGGAUCGAAGAGUAUUCGACUGCUUGAAUUUAAGCAUCAAAACAAAUGGCUAUAAUAUGGUACAAGGAUCACUGCCGAUAGCCCUUGAAUUCCGUGUCGUUUACAAGAUAAUGAAAAAAACCCCAGCUGUGCCAAAAGCCUUGGCAGAAUACCCAGGAGGAAGAGUCCUUUUAGAAGAAAAAAUUGGAAGAUCAAAUGCUGUUUUUCCAGCAUCAGUCAAGUGGAGCGAAGUCGAAGAUGCAUAGCAGUGGAUGCUACCAGCUGAAGUCCCUCAACUACUUUACCUCAAAGUGAGCCAGAUAAAUGUAUUUCAUAUCAGUAUGCAUUGCACGGUUAUACGUGUGUUUUGUCGUUAGUUUUCCUGGUGUGUGUAUAUGUAUCUUCAAGAAUGCUUUUCUCCCUUUAUCUCUGUAAAUGUCUCUAUAAGUCUAUAACUAAUGAAGUUUGUCUGUUAUUCCAACUCUUCUCCUCUUAGUUGUUUAUCUUAUCUGAUUUAUGUGUUUGUCAUUGUGAUGGCCAAUCUAUUUGUUUCAUAGUAUGUUCUGUACUGUUUGCAUCAG